GGUGAGUAAUGUCUGGGAAACUGCCUGAUGGAGGGGGAUAACUACUGGAAACGGUAGCUAAUACCGCAUAACGUCGCAAGACCAAAGAGGGGGACCUUCGGGCCUCUUGCCAUCACAUGUGCCCAGAUGGGAUUAGCUAGUAGGUGGGGUAACGGCUCACCUAGGCGACGAUCCCUAGCUGGUCUGAGAGGAUGACCAGCCACACUGGAACUGAGACCCUGUCCAGACUCCUACGGGAGGCAGCAGUGGGGAAUAUUGCACAAUGGGCGCAAGCCUGAUGCAGCCAUGCCGCGUGUAUGAAGAAGGCCUUCGGGUUGUAAAGUACUUUCAGCGGGGAGGAAGGUGAUGAGGUUAAUAACCUUGUCAAUUGACUUUACCCGCAGAAGAAGCACCGGCUAACUCCGUGCCAGACAGCCGCGGUAAUACGGAGGGUGCAAGCGUUAAUCGGAAUUACUGGGCGUGAAGUGCACGCAGGUUGUCUGUCAAGUCGGAUGUGAAAUCCCCGUGCUCAACCUGGGAACUGCAUUCGAAACUGGCAGGCUGGAGUCUUGUAGAGGGGGGGAGAAUUCCA
This 571-nucleotide ribosomal RNA is filed under the name Klebsiella sp. DsA.N046. RNAcentral's name for it is "bacterial SSU rRNA". It matches the Rfam family "Bacterial small subunit ribosomal RNA", at positions 105 to 671 of the family's 1533-position model. Lineage: Bacteria; Pseudomonadati; Pseudomonadota; Gammaproteobacteria; Enterobacterales; Enterobacteriaceae. The record is from RNAcentral.